UUGUGGCGAAGUGGGUGAUCCUAUGCUGCCGAGAAAAGCCUCUAGUGAGUGUCGUGGCGGCCCGUACCCCAAACCGACUCAGGUGGUCAGGUAGAGAAUACCAAGGCGAUCGGGUGAACUGUGGUUAAGGAACUCGGCAAAUUGCCCCCGUAACUUCGGGAGAAGGGGGGCCUCCGCUGGUGAUCAGACUUGCUUUGUGAGCUGGUGGGGGUCGCAGAGGCCAGGGGGAAGCGACUGUUUACUAAAAACACAGGUCCGUGCGAAGUCGUAAGACGAUGUAUACGGACUGACGCCUGCCCGGUGCUGGAACGUUAAGGGGACCGGUUAGCGCAUCUUCGGGUGUGCGAGGCUGAGAACUUAAGCGCCAGUAAACGGCGGUGGUAACUAUAACCAUCCUAAGGUAGCGAAAUUCCUUGUCGGGUAAGUUCCGACCUGCACGAAUGGCGUAACGACUUCCCCGCUGUCUCAACCGCAGACCCGGCGAAAUUGCACUACGAGUAAAGAUGCUCGUUACGCGCAGCAGGACGGAAAGACCCCGGGACCUUCACUACAGCUUGACAUUGGCGUUUGGAACGUCUUGUGUAGGAUAGGUGGGAGACUGUGAAGCUGUCACGCUAGUGGCGGUGGAGUCAUUGGUGAAAUACCACUCUGGUCGUUUUGAACGUCUAACUUCGGUCCGUGAUCCGGAUCAGGGACAGUGUCUGGUGGGUAGUUUAACUGGGGCGGUUGCCUCCUAAAGAGUAACGGAGGCGCCCAAAGGUUCCCUCAGCCUGGUUGGUAAUCAGGUGUCGAGUGUAAGUGCACAAGGGAGCUUGACUGUGAGACCGACGGGUCGAGCAGGAGCGAAAGCUGGGACUAGUGAUCCGGCGGUGGCAUGUGGAAGCGCCGUCGCUCAACGGCUAAAAGGUACCCCGGGGAUAACAGGCUGAUCUUCCCCAAGAGUCCAUAUCGACGGGAUGGUUUGGCACCUCGAUGUCGGCUCGUCGCAUCCUGGGGCUGGAGUAGGUCCCAAGGGUUGGGCUGUUCGCCCAUUAAAGCGGUACGCGAGCUGGGUUUAGAACGUCGCGAGACAGUUCGGUCCCUAUCCGCUGCGCGCGCAGGAGACUUGAAAGGAGCUGUCCCUAGUACGAGAGGACCGGGACGGACGAACCUCUGGUGUGCCAGUUGUUCCGCCAGGAGCAUGGCUGGUUGGCUACGUUCGGAAGGGAUAACCGCUGAAAGCAUCUAAGCGGGAAGCUCGCCUUGAGAUGAGGUCUCCCACCACGUGAGUGGGUAAGGCCCCCGGGAGACGACCGGGUUGAUAGGCCGGAGGUGGAAGCACGGUAACGUGUGGAGCUGACCGGUACUAAUAGGCCGAGGACUUGACCA
Molecule: ribosomal RNA, 1368 nt
Filed under: metagenome
Description: bacterial LSU rRNA
Rfam family: Bacterial large subunit ribosomal RNA
Source: RNAcentral